CCUACGGGUGGCAGCAGUGGGGAAUAUUGGGCAAUGGGCGCAAGCCUGACCCAGCAACGCCGCGUGAAGGAAGAAGGCUUUCGGGUUGUAAACUUCUUCUCUCAGGGACGAAGCAAGUGACGGUACCUGAGGAAUAAGCCACGGCGAACUACGUGCCAGCAGCCGCGGUAAUACGUAGGUGGCAAGUGUUAUCCGGAUUUACUGGGUGUAAAGGGCGUGUAGGCGGGACUGCAAGUCAGAUGUGAAAACCACGGGCUCAACCUGUGGCCUGCAUUUGAUACUAUAGUUCUUGAGUGCUGGAGAGGCAGACGGAAUUCCUAGUGUAGCGGUGAAAUGCGUAGAUAUUAGGAGGAACACCAGUGGCGAAAGCGGUCUGCUGGACAGCAACUGACGCUGAGGCGCGAAAGCGUGGGGAGCAAACGGGAUUAGAUACCCGUGUAGUC
This 443-nucleotide ribosomal RNA is filed under the name uncultured bacterium. Its description in RNAcentral is "partial 16S ribosomal RNA". It matches the Rfam family "Bacterial small subunit ribosomal RNA", at positions 338 to 795 of the family's 1533-position model. The record is from RNAcentral.